CUAUUUUGUAAAUGGGCUCGGGCCGAGGCAAGUGUUUUAGGUCCAAGAAACUUAUAGAUCAGGUUAAGUCCGGGUCUCACCAAAGUCAUCUUCAGUAAAAAUCUCCAAUCGACGACGCAAUCCAGCCUUCAAAUCGAUUUCUCCGAUUAAGGAAGUCAAACGAUUGUGACCUUCUGUACUGGCGAAGAAAUAACGACGAAGUCGGUGGGAGAAACGGGAAUUACGACUCCGUUUAAGGAACCCCGGAAGAGAAUUACAAGAAAAAGAAGGACAAAGUGCUUUGAUUUCGUUGUGAUGGGAAAUGGCAGGUCGGAAAUUGCUAUCGACGGAAGGAUAACGAGGAUUUCCUUCCCUUAACCCUGAGAAAUUCAAUGGUUGGAGGAUUUCCUUCCCUUUCUCUAGUAUCAAAGUUGAGGUAACAUGCGUGUCUAGCUUCAAUUGUGAGUGCCUGUCAUUAUAUUAUGUUUUUGUGAACCCUAGUCUCUAAACAAAAUCAAUGUGAUUUAUUUUUUGAAUGGAACCGUUGAAUAAAAACUUAAAAUAAAUUCAUUACAUUCUAAAUAAAUUGAAAAUUUGCUAUCAAGAAGUUCAAAAAUUAUGAAUACUAAUGUUUGAGUUCCCAUUUUAUCCUGGUAGUGGUGUAUCUAGGUGGAGCUGCUGAUCCUUCUUCCUGUUUUCUGGAGUUGGAGUUCUUGUCUCUGUUUGUUAGAGGUCCUGGCUAAGUUGGUUCCCUUGUUAUUCGCCAUUUUGUAACCCCUGGUGCUUCUAAGGUUUACUAGCAAUUGUAAUUUUCCUUUUUAAGUACUUUUUAUGUGUGGUAGAUUUGCAUAUGAUCUAUUUUUUUCUUACUUUUAAAUCUUGGGAAAAAGCAUCCACAGGUUAACUUUAAGUUAAUCAGUUAAUUGCCAAAAAAAAAAAAAAAAACAAAAACAAAAGCAAACAAACAGUAUCUUUUUCAAAAGGACUAUUGAUAUUUUAUUUUGGUUUAAAAUAUAAAGACUAAGAUUACACGAAUAGACUCUCGUCCAACUGCCAAAAUGUGCGUUCAGUCCCUAUUUUCGAAAAUUAACUCGGACCAUCCCUGUAU
This 1087-nucleotide long non-coding RNA is filed under the name Lactuca sativa (garden lettuce). RNAcentral's name for it is "long non-coding RNA (LSAT_LNC001969)". Lineage: Eukaryota; Viridiplantae; Streptophyta; Magnoliopsida; Asterales; Asteraceae. The record is from RNAcentral.